AUUGAACGCUGGCGGAAUGCUUUACACAUGCAAGUCGAACGGCAGCACGGGAGCUUGCUCCUGGUGGCGAGUGGCGAACGGGUGAGUAACAUAUCGGAACGUAUCCAAUAAUGGGGGAUAACGAGUCGAAAGAUUCGCUAAUACCGCAUACGCCCUGAGGGGAAAGCUGGGGAUCGUAAGACCUGGCGUUAAUGGAGCGG
This 200-nucleotide ribosomal RNA is filed under the name uncultured bacterium. Its description in RNAcentral is "partial 16S ribosomal RNA". It matches the Rfam family "Bacterial small subunit ribosomal RNA", at positions 30 to 229 of the family's 1533-position model. The record is from RNAcentral.